AAAGGAAUUGACGGGGGCCCGCACAAGCGGAGGAGCAUGUGGUUUAAUUCGAUGAUACGCGAGGAACCUUACCCGGGCUCGAACGUAUGAUGAAUAAUAUGGAAACAUGUUAGUCGAAAGACAUUAUACGAGGUGCUGCAUGGUUGUCGUCAGCUCGUGCCGUGAGGUGUCAGGUUAAGUCCUAUAACGAGCGCAACCCCUACUGUUAGUUGCCAGCAUGUAAAGAUGGGGACUCUAGCGGAACUGCCUACGCAAGUAGAGAGGAAGGUGGGGAUGACGUCAAAUCAGCACGGCCCUUAUGUCCGGGGCGACACACGUGCUACAAUGGUCGAUACAGAGGGCAGCUACUUGGUGACAAGGUGCAAAUCUCAAAAAUCGAUCUCAGUUCGGAUCGGAGUCUGUAACUCGACUCCGUGAAGUUGGAUUCGCUAGUAAUCGCACAUCAGCCAUGGUGCGGUGAAUACGUUCCCGGGCCUUGUACACACCGCCCGU
This 492-nucleotide ribosomal RNA is filed under the name uncultured bacterium. RNAcentral describes it as "bacterial SSU rRNA". It matches the Rfam family "Bacterial small subunit ribosomal RNA", at positions 903 to 1397 of the family's 1533-position model. The record is from RNAcentral.